UACUGUUAGAGUUGACAAACGCAGAAGACAACAAACAUGUGCAAAUGAAAAUUUAUUUGACAUUCAUCAAUUAAAUUCUGCUGCAGAAAUUUUUGCAGUGGAAAAUACAGUUGUGCAAAAGAAGACAACAAGAGCUCAGGUAUCGUGUAAAGAAUACUAUUCCUACAAAUUACAGGAAGCUUCAGAGUAUCAAAUGCCUAC
Molecule: long non-coding RNA, 201 nt
Organism: Olea europaea var. sylvestris
Lineage: Eukaryota; Viridiplantae; Streptophyta; Magnoliopsida; Lamiales; Oleaceae
Exons: 3
Source: RefSeq, a predicted model, not a curated record